CCUACGGGAGGCAGCAGUGGGGAAUAUUGCACAAUGGGGGAAACCCUGAUGCAGCGACGCCGCGUGAGUGAAUAAGUAAUUCGUUAUGUAAAGCUCUAUCAGCAGGGAAGAAAAUGACGGUACCUUAGUAAGAAGCCCCGGCUAACUACGUGCCAGCAGCCGCGGUAAUACGUAGGGGGCAAGCUUUAUCCGGAUUUACUGGGGGUAAAGGGAGCGUAGACGGCAGUGCAAUUAUGGAGUGAAAGCCCGUGGCUGAACCACCGAACUGCUUUGGAAACUGUACGGCUGGAGUGCAGGAGAGGUAAGCGGAAUUCCUAGUGUAGCGGUGAAAUGCGUAGAUAUUAGGAGGAACACCAGUGGCGAAGGCGGCUUACUGGACUGUAACUGACGUUGAGGCUCGAAAGCGUGGGGAGCAAACAGGAUUAGAUACCCCUGUAGUC
RNAcentral lists this ribosomal RNA (440 nucleotides) under uncultured bacterium. RNAcentral describes it as "partial 16S ribosomal RNA". It matches the Rfam family "Bacterial small subunit ribosomal RNA", at positions 338 to 795 of the family's 1533-position model. The record is from RNAcentral.